RNAcentral lists this ribosomal RNA (758 nucleotides) under uncultured bacterium. RNAcentral's name for it is "bacterial SSU rRNA". It matches the Rfam family "Bacterial small subunit ribosomal RNA", at positions 192 to 932 of the family's 1533-position model. The record is from RNAcentral.
AUCUAAGGAUGAAAGUGGGGGCUCGCAAGACCUCAUGCUCCUGGAGCGGCCGAUAUCUGAUUAGCUAGUUGGUGGGGUAAAGGCCUACCAAGGCAUCGAUCAGUAGCUGGUCUGAGAGGACGACCAGCCACACUGGAACUGAGACACGGUCCAGACUCCUACGGGAGGCAGCAGUGGGGAAUUUUGGACAAUGGGCGCAAGCCUGAUCCAGCAAUGCCGCGUGAGUGAAGAAGGCCUUCGGGUUGUAAAGCUCUUUUGUCAGGGAAGAAACGGUGGGAGCUAAUAUCUCUUGCUAAUGACGGUACCUGAAGAAUAAGCACCGGCUAACUACGUGCCAGCAGCCGCGGUAAUACGUAGGGUGCAAGCGUUAAUCGGAAUUACUGGGCGUAAAGCGUGCGCAGGCGGUUUUGUAAGUCUGACGUGAAAUCCCCGGGCUCAACCUGGGAAUUGCGUUGGAGACUGCAAGGCUAGAAUCUGGCAGAGGGGGGUAGAAUUCCACGUGUAGCAGUGAAAUGCGUAGAGAUGUGGAGGAACACCGAUGGCGAAGGCAGCCCCCUGGGUCAAGAUUGACGCUCAUGCACGAAAGCGUGGGGAGCAAACAGGAUUAGAUACCCUGGUAGUCCACGCCCUAAACGAUGUCUACUAGUUGUCGGGUUUUAAUUAACUUGGUAACGCAGCUAACGCGUGAAGUAGACCGCCUGGGGAGUACGGUCGCAAGAUUAAAACUCAAAGGAAUUGACGGGGGCAAGGGCGAAUUC